This 483-nucleotide ribosomal RNA is filed under the name uncultured bacterium. RNAcentral's name for it is "partial 16S ribosomal RNA". It matches the Rfam family "Bacterial small subunit ribosomal RNA", at positions 28 to 507 of the family's 1533-position model. The record is from RNAcentral.
GACGAACGCUGGCGGCGUGCUUAACACAUGCAAGUCGAACGCUGAAGCCCGGCUUUUGUUGGGAGGAUGAGUGGCGAACGGGUGAGUAACACGUGAGUAACCUGCCCCCUCCUUUGGGAUAACGCCCGGAAACGGGUGCUAAUACUGGAUAUUCACUGGCCUUCGCGUGUGGGCUGGCGGUAAGGGUUCUUCUGGUGAGGGAUGGGGUCGGGGCUUGUCAGCUUGUUGGUGGGGUGAGGGCGUAGGAAGGGUUAGACGGGUAGCCGGCCUGAGAGCGUGACCGGUCAGAGAGGGAGUGAGGCACGGCCCGGACUGCGACGCGGGGCAGAAGUGGGCAAUAGUGAGCAAUGGGCGAAAGCCUGAUACGGCGGCGCGGCGGGAGGAGUGGAGGCGUGCGGGUUGUGAAGCUCUUUCGGUUGUGGUGAAGCCGUAACAAUGGUGGUAGUGACGGUACUGGGUGAAUAAGCGCCGGCUAACUACGUG